Molecule: transfer RNA, 70 nt
Filed under: Aeolothrips indicus
Lineage: Eukaryota; Metazoa; Arthropoda; Insecta; Thysanoptera; Aeolothripidae
Description: tRNA-Glu
Source: RNAcentral
AUUUAUAUAGUUUAAGAAAAACAUUAUAUUUUCAGUAUAAAAUUAAAAAGAAUAAAUUUUUUUAUAAAUA